Molecule: ribosomal RNA, 301 nt
Filed under: uncultured bacterium
Lineage: Bacteria
Description: partial 16S ribosomal RNA
Rfam family: Bacterial small subunit ribosomal RNA
Source: RNAcentral
CAGUAGCCGCGGGAAUACGAAGGGGGCUAGCGUUGCUCGGAAUCACUGGGCGUAAAGGGUGCGUAGGCGGGUUUUUAAGUCAGAGGUGAAAUCCUGGAGCUCAACUCCAGAACUGCCUUUGAUACUGAAAGUCUUGAGUUCGGGAGAGGUGAGUGGAACUGCGAGUGUAGAGGUGAAAUUCGUAGAUAUUCGCAAGAACACCAGUGGCGAAGGCGGCUCACUGGCCCGAUACUGACGCUGAGGCACGAAAGCGUGGGGAGCAAACAGGAUUAGAUACCCGUGUAGUCCCUGUCUCUUAUAC